Triticum aestivum (bread wheat) is the source of this 2718-nucleotide RNA transcript. RefSeq lists it as uncharacterized. The transcript has 4 exons. NCBI's taxonomy places the organism in Eukaryota, Viridiplantae, Streptophyta, Magnoliopsida, Poales, Poaceae. The record is from RefSeq and is a predicted model, not a curated record.
GAAGAAACCCACCGCGGAUCACCUCAGUCACCUCUCCUCCCUUCCUUCCGCCCGCCGCCUCCCUCUCUAUCUCUCCCCGAUCCAGAUCGACGCCGCCACCCCUCUCUAACCCUAGCUCCCCAUCGCCGGCGGCGGCGCCCUCCUCCCCUCUCCUCCACAUCCGCCGCACCCACCCACCCACCCCCCGCCGCCGUCAAAUCCGCCAUGCCCACAGCUCUUUCUGCCCCACCCCAAACCCUACCCACAGCCGCCGCCGUGCUCCGUCACCGGCGACCUCGCCGCCGCCGCCCCUCUCCCCUCGCCCUAUCUCCAUACCGCACGCGAGGGAGGGAGGGAGGCCCCAAAUCGAAGCGAGCAGCAGCUUCAGGAUCCAGAUCGAGAGGGGCCCCAAAUCGUCACCUUCCUCCACCCCUUGACUCCUCUGUGUCGCCCUACCCCGCGGCUCCCGGGACGCCGAGUCGGACGGGAGGAGCCACCGCCCCGCAGCAUGCGCGCGCCGGUAGGGCGAGGGGAUCGAUGGCGAAGCUCUACGUGCAGGCGGUGCCCCCGCCGGAUCUGAACAAGAACACCGAGUGGUUCAUGUACCUGGGGUCUGGACCACCUACAUCUUCAUCAUCUUCGUCUCCUGGCUCCUCAUCCUCUCCAUCUUCGGCAUGGCCUGGACGCUCGUCAACCUCGGCCACUUCGCGAUUACAUACCACUUCUUCCACUGGAAGAAGGGAACUCCAUUCGCUGAUGACCAGGGGAUGUAUAAUAGGUUGACUUGGUGGGAGCAAAUGGACAACGGCAAGCAGCUUACUCGCAACAGAAAAUUUCUUGUUGUGGUUCCUGUAGUCCUCUAAGUGUUAUUCUGUUUCAAUUUUAUUAAUACUGCUUUUGGGAGCUUAUUUGGCAAGGAACAGCAUGGCAGGAUGUAUGCACAAAGAUUAAUUCUGGCUAGUCAGAAAAACUACACUUAUUCAUUAAUUCUGCAAAGAACACUUGCUAGUAACAUCUAGGUCUAACUGGCAUAUUCACGCCAUUAUACAUGUGUAAGGAUUGGGCAUUGCUCUAUUGCUCUAUUCACGCCAUUAUACAUGUGUAAAAAUUGUUUGAUUAACUUCAUUAUCUUUAAUAAUUUAUUAUUCACUUCCAGUUAGUAGUAACUUAAACUUGGCGGCAAACUGGUUAAAUACUUGGUUGUGAUCACGUUUGCAGUUCAGUUUUAUGUGUUAUUAACUGUUAGUACAAGACAUCAAGUGCACGGCUACUAGUUUGCUUACUAGCUCUUUUCUAUUGGGAUAUGUAUAUAUACGUGUGGAUUUUAAGCAUGGUUCCUGUAUAUGUGAUAAGUGCAUACCACUACAACUCCUCUUUGUCUGGUAUUAUAAGGCCAUUUGAUUGAAUGCUUGAAAAGAUGAGUCGCUAAAGUGAAUGUGCUUCUAAGUCUCAUGUAGUUCCAGAAACACAUGCAUUUAUCUGCCAUGCUCUGUUUUUCCUGAGGAUAAAAUUCCUCUGUAAUUCUUAAAACUCUCCCAUAGUUCUACAAACAUAUUGCAUUGUCAGCCUCAUGUAUCAUCUGUAUUCUUCUUUUGGUCCUGUGGAUAAAGCUCCUCUGCAUUGCUUAAAAGAAUGGGAGUUUGUGAGGGAUGUUCUCAUGUAUUACUGUUAGUGUCGUUCCUUUUCUGUCUUUUGUCAGAUUUUGUUUUUUGUAGUAAUUUAAGUUCUGUUUUGUAGACCUGUUUGUUUGUGUUACUUUUCUGUUAAUUCAUGAAGGACAAGGGAAAACAUGGUUGAAUUUCUUAAUAUGAGCCAAAAAGAGCCACUCUCAUUAUUGUCAUUCUUUUAGAUUCAUGUGUUCUGUUUGACCAUGGCUGUGAUGAUAAACACUUUCAACAAACAUGCCAGUUCUGCUUCUGAAAAUUCAUGACUGAAAAACAUGUCAUACAAGAUCUGUUUAGUACUCAUGUAUUAUGGCCGUGGCUUAUUUAGUCUGUGCUUGCUGUGCCUUGUGUAUUGGAGCCUAAUUAGCUUUUGUUAGGGGAUAAUCUACUGGUUAUAGCAAGAUUUUACUCUUGUGCUGUGGAAUAGAUGGUUCAUGUGUACUGCGAUGUACUAGUUGAACUCCGCUGGCUGUACUAGUCGAACUCUUCCCCUAACUCAUAUCAAUUUUGCUCCUGCUGCUGUACAAGUGAUGCGUGUGUGAUUGUUCAUGGACAGGAACUAGCAAACUUUGUUGUUUUGCAACUGAAUGAACGCAACUUCAGUUUGUAUGUCACCCAGCUUGCUGCUGCGGUGGCUGUCGAUGCCAGCGAGCCUGCAACAUCUGUGAUGAGCUGCAGGACCUGGACACCUAAGCGGGCUCCGCAUCCAAGUCCUGGCCGUCCUCCGCAGCAAGGAGCUGGGCCAAGGGAGCAAACAACACCACUGGUUCCUUCAAGGAUGUGUGCUGCUGGUCGAGUCUUGUGGAGAAGCAAGGCGAAUCGGGCAUUGUCUCAAUUGUUCCGCUGUGGAGUUCGAGGCCUUGGAAAUUUCAAGUUCGAAGCGGCGUGUAGCCCUACGCAGCAAUGAUUUGUUCUGUUUGACUGUAAUAAACUAAAUAUUAUAGUACUGUAAUAGUAGGCAUAUCUGGGUUGUUAUAGACUAUGCACAGAUUGUAAUAGACUAUGUACAUGAGCUCCAGGCCUAUGAAAUUCUCCAUUUGUUCUGUUCUAUUUAAAAUAUUGAUUAUUUGUGUGA